UGAGGAAUAUUGGUCAAUGGGCGAGAGCCUGAACCAGCCAAGUAGCGUGCAGGAUGACGGCCCUCCGGGUUGUAAACUGCUUUUAGUUGGGAAUAAAAAGGGACUUGUCCCUUCUUGUAUGUACCUUCAGAAAAAGGACCGGCUAAUUCCGUGCCAGCAGCCGCGGUAAUACGGAAGGUCCGGGCGUUAUCCGGAUUUAUUGGGUUUAAAGGGAGCGUAGGCGGAUUGUUAAGUCAGCGGUUAAAGGGUGUGGCUCAACCAUGCAUUGCCGUUGAAACUGGCGAUCUUGAGUGCAGACAGGGAUGCCGGAAUUCGUGGUGUAGCGGUGAAAUGCUUAGAUAUCACGAAGAACUCCGAUCGCGAAGGCAGGUGUCCGGGCUGCAACUGACGCUGAGGCUCGAAAGUGUGGGUAUCAAACAGGAUUAGAUACCCUGGUA
This 437-nucleotide ribosomal RNA is filed under the name uncultured bacterium. RNAcentral describes it as "bacterial SSU rRNA". It matches the Rfam family "Bacterial small subunit ribosomal RNA", at positions 355 to 792 of the family's 1533-position model. The record is from RNAcentral.